CCUACGGGAGGCAGCAGUGGGGGAUAUUGCACAAUGGGGGGAAGCCUGAACCAGCCAAGUCGCGUGAGGGAAUAAGGCCCUACGGGUCGUAAACCUCUUUUGCCGUGGAGCAAGGGCUGGGACGUGUCCCGGCCCGGAGAGUACCCGGAGAAAAAGCAUCGCCUAACGCCGUGCCAGCAGCCGCGGUAAUACGGAGGAUGCGAGAGUUAUCCGCAUUUAUUGGGUUUAAAGGGGGCGUAGGCGGGCUUUUAGGUCAGCGGGAAAAGUUCGGGGCUCAACCCCGGCCGGCCGUUGAAAGUGGGGGCCUUGAGUGGGAGAGAAGGAGGCGGAAUGCGUGGUGUAGCGGUGAAAUGCAUAGAUAUCGCGCAGAACCCCGAUUGCGAAGGCAGCCUUCCGGCGCCCUACUGACGCUGAGGCACGAAAGUGCGGGGAUCGAACAGGAUUAGAUACCCCAGUAGUC
Molecule: ribosomal RNA, 460 nt
Filed under: uncultured bacterium
Lineage: Bacteria
Description: partial 16S ribosomal RNA
Rfam family: Bacterial small subunit ribosomal RNA
Source: RNAcentral